CUUUGACCUCACGGAAGCUCCUCAGGACGAUGGCAUCACAAGCCUGAAAGGGCUGUUGUGAAUCUUCAGUGCGUUCAUACAUGUCAAGCACUCAGGGACAGGCCCAAGCUCCAAGUAUGGCAUUAUGUGACAAACUCUGGCCAAUGGGACCUGAAGGGAAGUGACACGUGUCAUCAGAAGAGAGCGUGUUCCAGAUGCUAUAGCUACAAGAUUAUGAGAGCCCAUCAACUGAGGUCCCUGAGUGGAUAUUGGAACACAUGCUCCUGCCAACACACUUUGGAUAGAUUAUUGCGUUACCCUAGAGGUGAUAAUGGGCAUCGUUGUAUUAUUCCUGAUGUGAAUGGAAGUUCAUCUAGUGUUUCCCCAUCGAACAAGAAAUGGUUUUGGAGCUG
RNAcentral lists this long non-coding RNA (392 nucleotides) under Equus caballus (horse). Its description in RNAcentral is "lncRNA (ENSECAG00000058507.1)". Lineage: Eukaryota; Metazoa; Chordata; Mammalia; Perissodactyla; Equidae. The record is from RNAcentral.